RNAcentral lists this non-coding RNA (78 nucleotides) under marine eukaryotic metagenome. RNAcentral's name for it is "Glycine riboswitch". It matches the Rfam family "Glycine riboswitch aptamer", at positions 7 to 88 of the family's 94-position model. From Rfam's summary of the family: This family represents the bacterial glycine riboswitch. Glycine riboswitches usually consist of two metabolite-binding aptamers domains with similar structures in tandem. The record is from RNAcentral.
CUUGCGGGAGAGAUCGGCUGCGAGCCGGCGCCGAAGGAGCAACCGCCCCGGAAUCUCUCAGGCAAACGGACCGCAAGG